This is a non-coding RNA of Meleagris gallopavo (turkey), 6703 nucleotides long. The record is from RefSeq and is a predicted model, not a curated record. NCBI's taxonomy places the organism in Eukaryota, Metazoa, Chordata, Aves, Galliformes, Phasianidae.
UACAGUUAGCUUACUGGGCUGCGAGGGCACACUGUUGGUUCAUAUCCAGCUUGCCAUCCACCAGUACCCUGAAGUUCUUUUUGGCAGGGUACUGCUCGAACCUUUCUAGGUCUUUCCAGGUGGCAUCUUUUCCCUCAGGUCUGUUGACUGCUCCACACAGCUUGGUGUCAUCUGCAAACUUGCUGAGGGUUCACUUGAUCCCAACAUCUAUUGCCAUACCACCAACAUUUGCCUCUGAUGUCAUGGGCAAGCAUAAUAAAAGAGGAGGCAUUUGGGGCUUUUGGAGCAGCCCUCUGCAAAUUUUAUUCUAAAAUUUCGAAUGCCUGUAGUAAUACCACUCCAAUUUAUAUUUAAACUGUAAAUAGUUAUCUUUAAUUGCAACAGAAUCCUACUAAUUCUAUGAAAAAAAAAACAAAACUGCCGAGUGACAUAUUUGGGAUAAAUGCAGCAUUAAAUGCUUUAAUUUAAAAGUGUUUAUUCACACUUAGUUUUAUAUUCACAAUUUGUUUAUUAUUAUUCACAAAUUGACCUAGAGUCUCAGCAGGACUUUAGGACAAAAACUGAAGUUAUUUGGCAUACUUUAUAUAUAACUGGGCUCAUUAACAGCAAGACUCAGCAUGAGUCACAUUUUCCAAGUAAGAUCCUGAUGUACCCUACUUUACCUGGAGACCUUCUAAUUAAUACUGAAAUACAUAUACAGCUCCCAACUCACUCCAUUGCCCAGCCCCCAUCAUUCCUUAACAGAGGUUUAAGAUUGUGUGAUCAAGCACCUGAAGGGUCAUGCUCUCAGGUCAUGCCCAUUGCACAAGCGUGCCUAAUGUUCAGUGCUCUGAUGUUUUCAUGUUCACUGUUGCUAUGCCCGCCAGUAUGGAGGUGGCAAGUAAAUCCUGGAAAGUCCCAGUAAACUUUUAUCAAACAGAUUUGGAACAUUUGGCUGCCAAACACUGUAUCUGUUAUGUGAACUAAGCCUGCAGCUCUUACGGAGCUUGUAAUCUUCUGAGCUUGUAGACAAGUCUGUAUUUGAUCCAGCAUGACUUAAAAGCACCUUAUGAAUUCAGUUGAAACUAACUGUAAGUCAAAGUCCAGUUUGGCAAAAUAUCUGAGGCUAAAAAUACCCUUAGAAAUGAUAAAACAUGGAAAUGUUUCUUCUGCAAAUAUUUAACAGAGAGAAUACAACUUUUUAUUUUGAAACCAUUGCUUUGUUUCAAAAGUGACUGAAAUGUUACAGUGAAGUCAAGGAAGAAUUAAAUAAGUUCAGAAUAAAAUGGUCAAUUAAAACAUCUAGUUGGUUGAACUGCCACAGGCUGCUCUAUGGCCAGUAUGCAAAAAGUGCUAACGUGUCAGUCUCAUGUCUAAUGGGGAGAAAAACAAAGGAGACAUGUUUUGUGUUAUUCAGCACCAUUUCAAGUUAUGCUUUCACAGAAUUGAGUCUGAUACAAUAUUUCAUUGUGAUCCAUCUGCCUCAGUGUGCUGAAGAAUAGAAAGCACACAGGUUCAGAAGAGAAGGCCAUGACCUCAUCAAUUUGAAUACCCGCCCUACUUUGUGGUUGUUAUUAACCUGCAGUUGUUGACCCAAGGAAUCAUAAAUGUUCUAUUACAAGUAGUGACUGAUACUGGAUUUAAAAUCCAGAGACAUGCCUGUUAAAUGAAUCAGCAACAGUUACUUUGACUAUAGUUACUCAGGCUUUAUUUUAUUCUGAAAUAUGAUAUGACCUGGCAUCUAUUUCACUUGCCCACACUGAAGUAAUGAUAUCCAAAAGUGGGAAGAUAAUAAAAUACAUGAAACAUAACUUUAUCAUAAUUAUUCCCAAUUAUUGCUGUUAAAGGAACCUCGAGGAUUUUUGAGUAGAAAAAGCCCAUUCAGGCAUGCAGUCUGAAAAAAAUUCAACAUUCCAUUUAUAUGUGGAGUUGAAAUUAUAGUCUGCAGCUCAAAAAUAUCUCUUCAGUAGGGAGAGCGUAUCAACACAUCCUUGAUUAUCACUUCUUUGACUUGAGGACAUGAUGCAGUACAAAUAAUACAAACAUAAAGAACAUUUAUUAAAAUACCAAGAAGAACAUAUCCUAUAUGCAAAAGAAAUUACAAGGUGAUGUCAAAGAACUAAAGAUAUCUCAAGGAAGUGCCAAUUUCUCAUUACACUAAGAUGGUGCAUUACACGUAACAUAAGAAAACAUAUUUUAAACUCUUUAGUGUUUGCAAUAUAUUCGGUAUAAUUAUUUUAUUUUCAGUUUAUGUGUUUCCUAUAACUUACUAUUUUGCUUGUUGAAAAGUUUUUUCCCCUCCACUGUUUCUAAGAUCCUAUUUUAUUGAUGGUUGUUUGAAAAAUCAGAUUUCAAUGAUGUCUGAAAUAGCAGAGAAAAAUAUCAAUUGUAAUCAGUUCAAAGAGAUUUCAUAUAUGUGUAAGCUGAUUUCUACUACCAAUUAAAGAGUUGAAACAUAUAAAAUGUUUCCAUAUAAAACAACUUUUUGCUUUAAUAGAAACACAACUAUUUCUAUAUUCAUUACCAUAAAACGUGUCCAAAAUUUUAUGCAUGUGGAUGUUGCUAUAAAGCAAAUUUUGUCUACCUGGUGUUGUUACAAAGGAAAAAAACAACUGAAUAAGGAAAUGCAAGCCAUUGCCUACAUAGCUGAUAAGAUGUCACAGGUAGCAUUUCAAGACCCAAACCAAUAACUUAAAGUGCUAGAAGAAUCUAAAUAUGAAGACAUGACAACAAUCAAGAUAGUGACCUAGUAAUUCCCUCAGGUAACAAUGGUUGUGACUUAACUCCUGCUAAAUGUUGAUGUGCACUAUAAAUCCACUUAUUUCAAAGAUACAUAAGAGAAAAAUUUAAUUAUUUCCAUCUGUACCUUUGUAAUUUAUAUAUAUAAAUUAAUACUUCCAAGUUCAAGGGUGCCAGGUGCCAAACAAUUUCUGCUGAGUAAAUUUUGUGUGUUGUGCUUUGAAAGACUCUUCCGUAUUCAUUAGCAUGUAUGUGAACAACCAUUAGUUUUAUUCCCUUUAUCUUUUGGACUCUUGUGCCUUGAUACAAGGAGAACAGAGGCUGGAGUGCCCGCAGGAAGAAGAAGAAUAAACUUUAGCAAAUGGAAUGACAUAUCACUAUUGAAGGUUUAUGAAUGUUGGUUGCAUUUUGCUUAACAUUUCAUCUCAGUGCUGCUUCAGAACUGGUUAGUAUUUAAUAAAUCAUUUAAAGAUUAUUUUGAUUGCUUGUUAAAACCUGUCAUUCACACUAAUUUCUAUUCAAUUGAAUGUUAAUGAAAAUUUCUUUACAUGCCAAGGAUCCAACAAAGCUUACUUUUGCUUCUUAGAAGAAUUGAGCACCUAAGAGAGUAAAACAGAAAAGUAAAUUCCAGUCAAUUCCAUUUAUUUGCAUUACUUUCUCAUGAAUCAUCUCUCUCUCUCUGUAUAUGUUAGUAGAGAGAGCAAGUGAAAAGUUCAUUGUUGCAUCAGCUGCCAUCUACUUAGUCAAUUUGGCAGCACUUUGGAGUCAAUAAAAAGUAAAAUAUGAUUGUAAAGCCUCCUGUCUCACUUGUUUUUAAAUUAUGUCAGCUCUUUAAAAUUAAAACUCCUCAAAAAGUGGCUUGCUCUUUGGUGCAGCUGUCUUUGUUUAAGCUCCUUAUUUCUUUAGCUGGUUCAACUAUAUUUGUACAUACUACAAAGUCACCACAUUUUGUGGCUCAAAUAAAUUCUUAAAGUUCUAGAAUUUGUAAUGGUCCUAUUCUUAGAAAAUCUAGAGAAGAUAAGAAUUCAGUAAGCAUGUUUAGCCCUCUGGCCUGAUGAGCACAUAGAGCUUUCUUUGUUUAUGUAACAGAUGCAUUUUUCAAAUUUCGAUAGAAUAUAAGCUAGAAAGCCAAUGACUCUUUCACAGUGAGAGCAAUAAUUAUUCAGAGAUGAUUUGUUUAGAUGGCCUUCUGUAUGCAGGAGUUCCUUUGCUCUGCUUGUGGCCUGAGUCAAAUAGGAGCUGUAUGGCCCAAGUUAAUGACUUAUCAAGCUUGAGCAGUUUGCAUUAAAUGCACACACACAUCUUUCAUUUGGAUCAACACUCCCAAGAGGAAGCAGGUGUACUCCUGGAAGACCUUGUAAAUAUUGAUGAGGAUAUUAUCUUGAGUCCAUCCCUGUGUAAUAUAAUUAAUUGAACAAAUGGUGCAACAGUGUGUUGCCACAAAAGAAAAGACUUAAAAUAUUGUAGUCUCUCUCUCUAUAUAAAGAUAUUAAGAGGAGCCAUUUCAGCUGGGAUUGUCCUGAAGAAAAGUCUCCUUUUGCCUUGAAGCCUAUUUAGGAAUGUCUAAAGCAAAACAGUUUUUGAAAACCUCGGCUAUCUGUUACUAUGCAAAAUAACUGAAGUAAAGAGGUUCUUCAUCAUCUCUAGGCACCAUGGACUGAGCAUUGACUGCUUCUCUUUAUCUUGCACUUGUCUCGUUGGGUGGAGCCAUAUCCUUGCUGAAGAUGAUAGGUUCCUAUGGGAGACAGCUGCACCUGGGAAAGUGGUUCACACUUCCAUGGACGUGUUGUAGCUCCUGUCUGCACAGAGGGGAGGAGCACAUCUGGGAUCACUGGGACCACAGCAGCAGUGGUGAUGAAUCCAGAGGGCAGAGCAAGGGCGCAUAGGAGAGCUUCCCUUCCCUGGGACCUCCUUUGACCUCAGUCUCCCUUCCCAUUACUUAUUACUUUAUUACUUUUUUUAUAUUAUUAUAUUAUAUUUACUUUAUUAUAUUAUUACUUUAUAAUGCUGGUUUAAUGCAGAAUGCAGAGAUCAUGCUAGGAGUCAAAACUGUCCUGUUUCACCAUGUGUUGACUUGCAGUCACAUGUCCCUUUUGCCACCAUUUGCCUUGGUAAAUCACGGGUUUAGAAGGAAGCAUCGGCUCAUCUUAUAUCUCUAACAAAUUAUUUUGCUCCUACAUCAAGUAGUCCUGUGUCACCAGGAUAAAAAAGUAUUGAUUUAUGUUAUGCAUGCCCUUAACAGGAUAACUUAAAAAUACUUUUACAAACAAACAUUGGACCAAUAAAUCCUUGUUAGUCUUUGGAGAUCAUACCGAAAAUUAAUUUUAGAUGAAUUUGGUUUCCUUCGUCUGGGAAGAAACUAAGCAUUGACUUCUACACCUUCUUACACAGUCUUAUCCAGUUUACUUACUUAGGAGUAGGAAAAUCUCAAGUUCCUUACAGACAUUAUCCCCUUUACCCAAAUGUGGGAGAAGAGAAGGAAGCUCUUCAAUGCAAGAGAACCUCCCAUGAAUGUUUGGCAGGUAUUGCUGGUGAAUUUACUGAAGAUUAAGGAUGGCAUUCUGAAGUGUCACAGAACAAAGGAGAGGGAGCUGUUUAUUUUACAUCCCUCGUUUAGCACAAAGACAGCUUUGCAUCUGAUCAAACCACAAGUGCAUUUGGUACAAAAAUAGAUUUUCUUCUCAGUACUUAACGAAACAUAGGUUUUGGUGCAAGUUUAUCAGGCAAAUUUUAGUUUUCAUUGUCGAAAAUUGUUGGAAUUUUGUGCAUAUCUAAUGUUUUUAUACAAACAGGCAAAACCAUUCCCAUUAUUUCUUUACCACUGGCAUUAAUAUGUGACCAUGCUGAAGAGGUUAUGCACGUGCCACAUAGAGGAACCAGUGAUGCCUGGCUAAACUAUCUUGGCAUAAGCAAGUGCGAUCUGGAAAAGAACAGACAUUUCCUUUGCUAAUGAAUUAGUGCAAGCAGUUGGACAGAAACAAGCUGUAAAAUGCCAACUCAGCAGGAUCACUUCCUCGAAUACAUAAAAGCUGUUCCUUUCCACACGUCAGAGCAAGAUCUUUCCAAGAAUUUCCAGGCCAGUAUUCUUGCUUUUCAAAGUUUUUUCAAAUGGGUACAAAUCCUCCUCUCUUGAAUGCAUCAAAACAAACAGAAAGGGAUGUGAAAAUUUAGAAGCAUCAAAAUAUUAAAAUCAUCAGUCAUGCAAAGCGUGAGCACAACUGGAAGCAGUGUCUCCUUGAGAUUUUGCUUCUAUCCUGAGUAUAUUUAAAAUAAAAUGUCUGUUAUUGCUGGGAAAACAAAUAUGAUAAAUCACAGAUUCAUAGAAUACCCGUAGAUGGAAGGGACCCUUAAGGAUCAGUGGGUCCAACUCCUGGCUCCACACUCCUGGGGCACACUGGGAUGUUUUAGAGUUGAUCAAGCAUUCAAGCCUACAGCAACUAUUCCUGAUUGCCUCUGGGAUCUGCUGCCAAAGCACCACCUGUGGCUUCGGAUUGAAUUUUACAGGAGACACGUCAUUCCUAUGUGAAAGAAGGAUCCCCUGACAAGUUCUGGGAUUAAAACAGCUCCUGCUAUUUGUGGGUAAGCAAAGUAAGUAGUUUGUGAAGGACUUGUCCUGCCAUCACAACUGGCUCUACUGUGGUUAUCUCAGCUAAACCUGCUGUGCUAGUAAGUUCCAAAAGAUGAUCUGGAAGGUGACCUGCGUGAAGAAGUCCUGUAUAAAGAUGUCCUGCAAUGUGUGGAGCAGGACUGGCAAGAUGGAGGGAAAAAAUGGGAGACCAAGAGGAAAACAAAUCUCUGAGUGAUUCCUUAGAAAAACAUGUAUUCUCUUCCUGCUGAAAUUUUCCCACUGAAGAUAAAACUUAUCUGAAGAGUUUCCACGGGAUAUUUCUACACGAUGCUCCAGUGAUGGAAGUUUUGCUUCGAAUAUUUUUAAUGGUAUUUUGUUGAGUCACUUCAAUAAAACAUUUUUGUUUUCUUAACUGAA